This is a long non-coding RNA of Macaca fascicularis (crab-eating macaque), 2121 nucleotides long. The record is from Ensembl. NCBI's taxonomy places the organism in Eukaryota, Metazoa, Chordata, Mammalia, Primates, Cercopithecidae.
GAAAGAUGUGGAAUGCUUUACGCUGUCCCACAUCAGCAGACACUUCACACUCAGUUGCUCACCAUUAGUUACGCUGCCAUUGCCCACUGGGUGGGGAGAUGAUGGCCUAAUCUAUCCAACCGGGAAGUAUCCUUUGGGGUGUUACUCUGGCAAAUUAUUUUCCAGACUUUAAACCUUUGUACCAGUAUCCUGAUCCAAAAACCAUACCAUAUGUAAGUAAAUAGUAAAGAACAGACAGGACCAGUUUGCAAUCAAAGCCGGGGAGGGGUAAGUAAGUGGGGAAGAGCGAAGGUACGAAUUUGCUUAGUGUUCAUAGCUGGAAGGAAGCCUCACUGUUACAGUUUUCGUGGUGCUCUCUACUUUCCAAAGUAAUUGAUAGACAUUACUGAAGCUUGGUGUAAAUCACAAGCCCCGAGGACUUGAGGGAGACUGAGCAACUGGGAAAGUCAGCACCGGGUGUUGUGUAAUUUUUUUUCCUGAAUAGCUCUUCACAGGAGGUCCUCAGGGAUUCUGAUGUCUCUUUUAACACUCGCUAGUCAAGGUGAUAAUGCCAGGCUUACACAUGUACAUUCUUCAGAAAUAAGAACUGCCUGUAAUCCUCCCCAGAGGCGCCUGAUCUAAGUACCUACUUGAGCUACAAUCCCAUAUGGUUGGAUAUUGUCACAACGACGAAGCACCAGCAGGGACCUUGAUCCCAUCUCCCCACCUACCUACUUUAAUCUCUGUCUCGGUCCUGGGGGACAGUGAUUCUGUGAUAAGGACGUCAUGCAGGUGAAGUCGUUUAUAGAGCUAUGGUUGCUGAGUUCAGUGCUAGGUAGGGGACCCCAGAUGGGGCUGUCUCAGGUACACAUCCCAUUAGGCACCCGCUCUCACUGUGACCUGGGGGUCUUGUUAGUUAUGCACAGUAUAGGUUGUGCUGUUUGCUUUUUUUGAGGUAAGAGGGACACCGUAUUUCAGACAGCAGGAAAAAACCUGAAUUUGUCAAUUCUAUAAGUACAAUUGCAUUUGUACUCAGGAGAAAGAUACCUCUGAAGAGGUUUGCCUCUGUGCCUUUAAGCAAGACAUUUGCAGAAUAAAUCAGAGCUGAGGUGGCUCUGUCUGAGACUGUCAGGAUGGCCCAAUUUCCAGAAUAAUAACAGAGAUGUGCCUGGAUAAGGCAAAUUGGCUCAGGACAUGAGAGGCAGAGAAAAUACAUAACACAGCCCUUGGCCAUCUAAUGAUGCAGCCAGGUAAAUCUUCUCCUAAUGGACAUUAAGUUGAAAAAAUUAAAAGGAAUAAGAAGAGCACAGUGUUUAGAAAAAUGGGUCCUACAGGCUCUUCUCCCUGCUGCUUCAACUCUGGGUAGGUUCUUCUAGACUGCUUUUUGUACAAGAACCUUGUACAACCAGUUCAGCUGGAAGUGUGCCCGCCGCCCUGUCACGGCCCUCAUUAGAUAACUCUGACCUGUUGAAAAGCUGAAAAUAGAACCUUGAGCCAUUUUCUCUGCAGCUCAACUCUUAUAAAUUAUCUGUCUUUCUAAAUAUUAGCAGUACCCUAGUUAUACUGUCAUUUUUAAAAUACUUGUCCAUUUUUACCUUUUCUUAACACCCCUGACCACCACACUACUUUUCUUCAGGAAAAGGAUUUUUAUGUAAAGAGAGGAGUGGUUUUCUUUUUAUUUCCUUUCUCCCUAGACAGCUAGAGAUAUUAGUUAAAAAAAAAUUCUUGAGGGCUUUUAUCCUUGGUUUAAAUCACCUGGAAAGAUCAGUAGGGAAGAAUAGAGUAUUUCCUUAGUUACCCAUUUGCUGUAGUAACUAAAGCCCACAAAAAUCCAUCUCCCACUUCCUAUUAAAAUUUUAUAAGCAUUAAAAACAUUCACUUGGAUGCUGUAUGGUGUUUUUUCUUUUGCAUCCAAAUUGAACUUUUUUCACUCUGACGUCUAUAGCCUGGCUGAUUUUUCUUAAUUUAUUUACUCACUUAAAAUUUUUUUAAAUUAAUAAGUGAACUCCUGGCAGGGAACAGGGCUCACAAAUGUAAUCCCAGGGCUUUGAGAGGCUGAGUCAGGAAGAUCACUUGACACCAGGAAUUCGAGACCAGCUUGGGCAACAUAGUGAGAUUCCCAUCUCUUAAAAAAAAAAAAAA